AUGUACAUGCCUACAACAAAUCGUAAAUGCAUCGGAUCCCAUUAGAACUCUGCAGUUAAGUGCACUCAGGCUAGAGUAGUAUUGGGAUAGGUGACCACCUGGGAAGUCCUAGUGUUUUACAUG
Non-coding RNA from Picea glauca (white spruce), 123 nucleotides. NCBI's taxonomy places the organism in Eukaryota, Viridiplantae, Streptophyta, Pinopsida, Pinales, Pinaceae. The record is from Rfam.